This 6034-nucleotide long non-coding RNA is filed under the name Sus scrofa (pig). RNAcentral describes it as "lncRNA (ENSSSCG00000048912.1)". Lineage: Eukaryota; Metazoa; Chordata; Mammalia; Artiodactyla; Suidae. The record is from RNAcentral.
AGCUGCACCCACGGCAUAUGGAAGUUCCCAGGCUACGAGUCAAAUCGGAGCUGCAGCUGCCGGCCUGCGCCACAGCCACAACAACAUGGGAUCCAAGCCGUAUCUGUGAUCUACAUCACAGCUCACAGCAAUGCUGGAUCCUUAACCCACUGAGCAAGGCCAGGGAUGGAACCCUCGUCCUCAUGGAUCCUAGUUGAGUUCCUUAACUGCUAAGCCAGGAAGGCAACUCCCAGUUUCUGCAUUUUAAAGCUAAGCUGAGACUGGGGAGGUUGCCCACAGUCAGGCAGCUAGACAUGGACAGGUCAGUGAUAUGAACCCAGGCACCCUGGCUCCAGAGUCUAUCUUCUGACCAUCACACUAUGCUUCCUCUCUUUUUAAUAAAAAGCAAAUCCACCAUCACUCUGCUGCUUGACAACCUCGGAUAGAUAGCGUGUCCCCGCAGUUAGAAGACAAUUCUAGGAUUUGCCUCUGUGGCACAACAGGAUAGAUUGUGUCCCUGCAGUGGCAGGAAUUCAAGUUCGAUCCCCAGCCCAGUGGAUUAAGGAUCCAGUGUUGCUGCAGCUGUGGGUGUGACUGAGGCCGACGUCACAACCGCAGCUCAGAUUCAAUCCCUGGCCCUGGAACUCCAUAUGCUGCCGGGUGGCCAAAAAAGAAAAGAAAAAAAUUUUUAAAAAGAGACAGUUCUAACUCUUUUGAUGGGUUUUAAUGGCCUCUGUGAAUUGGUCGCUGCUUCUGUCGACCCCCAGCCACACGACCCCCAGCCACACGACCCCCGUCUCUGAUAGGCCUCUUCCUCAGGUCCCCUCGUGGCUGCCUCUGUCACACCCUUCAGAUCUCUAUGUAGUGUCCCUUCCUCGAAGGGCCUCCCCUGACCACCUGUCAAUGAGCUCUCCUCUGAACUUCUCCCUCAUAACAUUCCAUUCGUCUUUAUUAUUAUUAUUAUUAUUUUGUAUUUUCUAGGGCCGCUCAUGUGGCAUAUGGAGGUUCCCAGGCUAGGGGUCAAAUCAGAGCUGUAGCCACCGGCUUACACCAGAGCCGCAGCAACAUGGGAUCCGAGCUGUGUCUGCAACCUACACCACAGCUCACUGCAAUGCGGGAUCCUUAACCCAAUCAGGGAGGCCGGGGAUCGAACCUGAAACCUCAUUGUUCCUAGUCAGAUUCGUUAACCACUGCUCCACGACGGGAACUCCCAUUCAUCUUUUUGUAUUACCUUUAAUGCAACCAGCACUUAUGUUAGUUGAUUAUUUGCUUAUGGUUUCUCUACCUCCUCUGUGGGGUAUAAUAAGCUCCGUGGGGUCCCUCCGGCUCUCCGCCCAGCGCAGGGCUCGAUUAGCUUGAAUCCUCAGAGACACUCGUGGGCAUAAUAAAGGCAGUGCUGGAAGGUGACCAGGAGCUUCAUUCUAGAAUCAGACAGGCCAGGGUUUGACUGAAUCCUCUGAUUUUAGGAGAGUCGUGAACCCUUAUCUGUAACGGGGACGCAGUCAGAGAGCUGUCGUGAGGUUUAAACGAGGUAACCUAGCCAUCCGGCACCUGGUAAACCCCCAAGGCCUCAGAGCUGUCACUGUCCCCUUCAUCCUUGUCAUCCUUCUCAGGCAGCAUCACUGGGCACCAGCCAGCCUGUGGGCUGGACCACCCUUGGCCGGGGUCCUAUCCCCGUUCUAACCCGCUCAGGCUGGCAGCGAGGGGCAGCUUGGGAAGACCCAGCUGAGCCUGUGGGUGGGACAGACACAUGUGGUUGUCAAGUCCAAGUCCACGCUCCUCCCACCCACCUCUUCCCCUUCUCCCGGGCCUUUUGGAGCCUUGCCUCCAGGCCCGUCCCUUUCUCGGAGCUGCUCUUCGCACCAGCUGAAUUCAGUCAGUCCUUUCUUCGCCCAGCUUCCUUUCUGCCACUGGACAGCAUCUCGGGCAGUGUAAAGGCUCCUGGCCCCGCAGUGAAGAGGCCGUGCUUAGCAGAGACAGGUAUUUGAUGUUGCGUUGAGAUAGGUUAACCAGACUUCGAAGGAAACACACCGUGGCUUAAUCAUAGCACAGAGCUGAUAACCUCUUGUUUUCUCCUCUUCCUGGGUCACAGGAAGCCCUGAAGGCUCCACCCUUCCCAGCCGUUGCCGGCAGAAACCACCGAAGGGGAUAAGCACCAGAAACCACUGAAGGGGAUAAGCAUGUAGAAUGUGUGAAAGAGACAGAUGGAGGAGAAAACACGAGCAGGGCUUAAAAUCUCUUCAUCAGCGGAAAAGCAUGGGAAAUUGGCAAAUCGGAGAGGAAGGGUAGGCAGCCUUGGUCGCUUUAUGUUUAUUCAAAGUGAGAGGGCAGAAGCGAUUGCUUCUCUAGGGAGGGGCUGGAGACGUGUUCCUGGAAAAGUACCGAAUUAUCCAGGCUUCGGGCUGCCAACUCCUAAGCGUCUUCCUGCCUCCAGCCCUCCUCCACUAACUUGUAGUUAUCUGAGCAGUUUGAUGCUGUUCUCUCUUCCAGGAAUGGCUUUUUUUAAUUCCCUGUUCCCUUAGUGGCCUCAAGAACUCCUGCCCCUUGUAACGGUGUCAUCACUAACUUCAGUCCCUAGGUCUGUGCCUGACACGCUGUAGGCACCUCGUAAGUGCUUGUCGAGGGAGUGAUGGCUAUUCAGAAGCUUUUUGAUGCAUACAGAGAUUGUAAACAGGUGAAAAAAGGUACAUGGUGAGGGCCUAGAGCAGACGUCCUGCAGUAGGGUGGAGUCUUGAGGAUUCAUUUUCCCCAAAGGUGACAGAAGCUAAUAAAGGAAAUAUGUCCAACAAAAGGUUAGGCCUGGUCUUGGAGGAGAGUUGCAUUCCCAGUGACAGAGGGGAGCUUGAGCUGGCAGUGGCUUGGGGGGGGGCCAGUGAAAAGAGGUCAUGCCACACCCAGGAGUCUGGCAGAGGGUAAGAAGGUGGGGCUGGCAUUCAGCUCCCUCGCAACUAGCCAAGAGGCCAAGCUGGGGAGGCCACAUUUUGAUACUUUGUCUUUUUAGGGCUGCACCCCGGGCACAUGGAAGUUCCCAGGCUAGGGGUGGAAUAGGAGCUGUCGCUGCUGGCCUACACCACAGCCACAGCAACACGGGAUCCGCGCAUGUCGGCAGCCUAUACCACAGCUCACGGCAAUGCUGGAUCCUUAACCCCUGAGCAAGGCCAGGGAUCGAACCUGAGUCCUCAUGGAUACUGCUGAGCCACAACGGGAACUCCACAUUUUGAUAUUUUAAUGCUGAUGUUGUAAAGAAACCCUUGCCCUUUUCCCUGGAAGUGUCACCACUAGAAACAGCGUGGGGCCACAGACUCUUCUGGGCUAACAACCAUUCCACCUGUCUCUCUCUGUGGUUGAGGGAUGGAAGACGACUGAAUGGGUGGUGAAAGAUUUUCCAUAUUGAGGUCCACAAACACCCCUCUCUCUCAUCCUCCAUGAUGUAUGAGCGUUAAAAGCAUCACCUGAGGAAGAUUUUGGGAUCUCGUGAGAGUUCUUGAAAAGGAGCACAGAUUGUCAUCUUUUCUGAGAUGGUUUCAGUGAGGCUAAGCUUCCAUGAAAAGGUUAGACCGACGGCUUCCUAGCUCGUACAACCCUAUUCUAUCAUCUGACUCUAGGAUUUCAAAUUUACGUGUGUCGAAUAUUCAUAUGUGCAAUCAGCUUUGUAAUCUCCGCACAGUAUGUGUAUUGAUUGGCUUCGUGACCCAUUCGCAAUCACUUUGGACUUCACAUUCUUAUGAAGAUAAUCACAGCCUCUGCUUCACUAAUCCCUUUGUUGAAAUUAUUGCUCUUGGUGUUUAUUCCUACACGAGCGUUAAUGCCAGGAUGCUUUUUUCAUGCAAAGCAGUGUUUCCUGUCUAUCCUUUUCUCUGAUUGCGUAUCAGGAAAAAAGAAGGCAAAUAAGACCUUGAUAUUAGUCUAAAGGGGAAGGUGCUAAUGAGAGGCACGUGCUGCAGUGGAAGGAAGACAGACUAGGUAGAUGUCAUUCAUUUACCAAAUAUUUAUUGACCAUAACUGUUAUAGUCCUAGGUUAGGUGAUCUGGGUUCAAAUCCUAGCUCAGUCACUUCCUCGCUCUGUGACCUGUGACUAACUAUCUGGUUUGCCCAGGACUGUUGUUUUAGCGCUGAAAGCCCUGCAUGCCAGGAAAUCUCUUAAUCCUGGGCACUUUGGGACAGUUGACCACCUUAAAUCACUCGUACUUAUCUGUGACAUAGGGAAGUUGAUUGUUUUUUAUAUCAUGACUUUGGGGUCAGGAUCAAAUGAGAUACGGUGAAAGAUCUCUGAGUUGUUAACUGCCACAGAAAUGUAAAGUACUCUUUGCUUUUUUUCACCCCAGUUUCAUGGAACCAGGGGCUUGGAUCUAGAACUAGCUUUUCACACUGGGGUGAGACAGGUACUGAGGGGUAGGGGAACCCCGGACUCCUCAGCUACUGGGGUACUUUCCAUCUGACUGCAAAGUUUGGUGCCCAAGGGGGAGCUGACAAUACCACAUCAGACAAACUGCAAGAGGUCCAAACAAAGUGGCCAUGGGCUCUGGUUGUUCUCAAGUGCAUCCGUUUGCAAGCAGGUGUCAGGGCCACAGCAGGGGGGCAAGGAGUUUGGGGAUCUGUGGGAAGGGAAGGGCCAGAGUGGCCCCAUUGGCCUCGUAGAGGGACCUGGGGUAUCGGGUAGGUUCCUAGAACAUGAACAGGACCAAACAGGCACCAAAGCAGAGCCCAGUUCCCAGACCAAGACCCAACACUGGGGGCAGAUCGUCAGCCAGGAUGAGUCAUAGGCUGGGCCACCGAAUAUGGGCCUGAGGCGGAAGUGUGAAGAGUCUGGGAAAGGCAUUUGGGGGAGAAAAGUGGAAUUUCCCACUCUGCUGGGGUCACAGUUCUGCGUGAUUUUACUGUCUUUUUGCAGAAUUUUCUAACCCUGAGUAGCUAGCAUCUGCAUACUCCCACCUCUAUCUUUAUUCAUAUGAUUUUUUUUUACAGUCUUCUCAUCACCUUUGUGCUUAUUUUUUAUGAAAAUCAACACUUUUUCUUCUUCUUAGAGCUGCACCUGCAGCAUAUGGAAGUUCCCAGGCUAGGGGGCGAAUUGGAGCUGCAGCUGCAAGCCUAUGCCACAGCCACAGCAAUGCCAGAUCCCUGAGCCAAAUCUGCAACCUACACCACAGCUCAAGGAAACUCCGGAUCCUUCACCCACUGACAGAGGCCAGGGAUCCAACGGGCAUCCUCACGGAUGCUAGUUGGAUUAUUUCCUCCACUUUAUUGAAGGGAAAUGAGUUUCAGAGAACUUAGCUGAAUAACGUAUGUUUAUACCGUAAAUCAGGAAGUUGGCAUUUGAGCUCAGUUCUGCUUUACCUAAAGCCCUGGUCAAUUCCACUCUAGGAUCUGGCGUCUCAAUUCGGGCCCUUCAAGAUUUGAUUCAUGUAUCACUUGUUCAGCGUGUCAUCCUUCCUGCACCCUGGGUUACUGGUUCUUCUCAGAAGCAUAUCUUUAACCCACCAUGACUAUAAAGCAUCUGUCUGAUCCAAAUCUCCACCUGUUUAGAAUGUACUUUGAGUCAGUGCCACUCACAGCGCUGGUCUGCGAGCUGUUGGUUAUGAGUCCACAAAGAUAAAGCACUUGGGCCAGAAUGUAAAUCCACCACCUGACACUUUAAACAUUUUUUCCUACAGCAAGACAUUCUCGAUGAAGAAUUGUCUUGGGUGUACUUUCUGGCAUAAGUUCCUUAUCUCAUAGCGGAGCAGUAAGAACAGCGGCAAGAUGAACACGGAUCCAGAAAUGGGCCCUGCGCCAAGGACAACACUCUGAGUAAUGCUGCUUGAGCUAACAUCGCGUCUCCUUCUUCCUGGCUGCUGUCAACUUGGGAUGAUGGCAACAGCCUCAGAUGGUCUUCCCCACUGCCCUUGGUUUCCAAAUCUAUUUGUGAUGCUUGCCUACUUAAAACCCCUUGGUGGCUCCCGAGAAAGUCCACACUCCACUCCGAAGGCUCUGCUUUCUCUCUCUCUCCCUUGCCCCCUGGGCUCCAGCUUUCCUGCGGGGCAUGGGGCAGUUCCCCAGACGGGCCAUGUGCUCACCU